Molecule: long non-coding RNA, 334 nt
Filed under: Dasypus novemcinctus (nine-banded armadillo)
Lineage: Eukaryota; Metazoa; Chordata; Mammalia; Cingulata; Dasypodidae
Description: lncRNA (ENSDNOG00000050725.1)
Source: RNAcentral
GGUGUUUCAGAUAUGCAAGGCCUCAAAAAUGUUCCUCCUAUCUCUUCCUAGGAAGCUAGUGGAGGACCUGCACCAACAAAAGCAAAGAGUAAAUCAGGAGAGUGGACAACAUGGGAAUAACUGCAUGGAGCUCAGUCUGGAAAGAUAAGGAAACUAUGAGUCAAGGAGGUCAAGUGACUUGCUCAAGAUCAAAAGCUAUGCCUUGAGGAGACUUUUAUUUGGCAGCUGUUGCUAGAAGCCCUCAGCAUCCCAAGACACUUCUGUAAGCCAUCUCAUCCCUACCACUUGGGAGCUUUUUCUUUUUAAUUGUAGUAACAUCUAUCUAUAUGACAUG